This is a long non-coding RNA of Oncorhynchus tshawytscha (Chinook salmon), 589 nucleotides long. The record is from Ensembl. Lineage: Eukaryota; Metazoa; Chordata; Actinopteri; Salmoniformes; Salmonidae.
UGGGUUUGCUGGUCAAUACAUAUACUGAACAGGGAUGGAGAGGGAGUUAGUAAGGUAGGCUGCAGUGGGUUUGCUGGUCAAUACAUAUACUGAACAGGGAUGGAGAGGGAGUUAGUAAGGUAGGCUGCAGUGGGUUUGCUGGUCAAUACAUAUACUGAACAGGGAUGGAGAGGGAGUUAGUAAGGUAGACUGCAGUGGGUUUGCUGGUCAAUACAUACACUGUACAGGGAUGGAGAGGGAGUUAGUAAGGUAGGCUGCAGUGGGUUUGCUGGUCAAUACAUAUACUGAACAUGUAACCACAGUAAUGGUGGCCAGUAAAUCAAUGAAUAAAAAUGUAAUAUUGACAAAUUCAACAAAUUGUAGACCUUUAGUCUUUUCCAACAUGUCAACAGACACUUAACUUCAGUUAAGUAUGAAACAUUUCACAGUGUUAACUUCCUCUUUAUCCCUGGUUGAUGUACAUGUCAGAGCCUCUUCAGUGUGGAUGGGGAAAAGCAUACAUUUUCAACAACAAAGACAGCACUUCCAGUUUGUGUUCUUCGCUCUGUUGAACUCGUUUCUCUUCAUUCCUAGUUACAGCACGUGGAAC